AUUCCCUGAAGAGCAAGGAAAUUAACAGUGAACUGGGUGAGGGACCCUGGCUGAAAGGAUUCUAGCCAGUAAGACUGCUGAAGCAUGUGAUUUUCCAGAGAGAAUUAGCAUAGAGGAGCAUAACAUGGGUGGAAGAGUGAAGAGCUUACUGGUUUCAUAUGGAUAAAAUCCCUUGAUAAGCUUUUAUCAGCAGAAGUGUCAGUUGAAAGUCUGGUCCAAUAUACUGCAGACUGUGACAGAUGAGGUCAUGAAGUGUGGCACAGCCUCUAACGCGGCACAUGCAUGCACAAACCUUACCAUGAGUGUCAGAGUAGAAAUGGAGUAAGUGGGAAACCAAAGAAACCUGGACAACCUUGGAACAACUGAAGAUCUGCGAUAUGCUAAACAGACUGCCCUAUUUGAAUGAAUUAAUAAUAUCAGCUUAUGUCUUUAGGUAGUGCACCAUGUAUAUGAUGUAACUCCCAUUGACUUUCGUUGAGAAUUAUGGUGACCUAUAGGGAGGAAAGAUGAUUUCCUGUGGUGUGUAAAUACUACAAGUGUCCUGUGGUCCCUAGAGGGAAAAUCACUGAGGGAUAAGGUCAAAUGUAGAGUGUAAUUCACUAAAACAAUCAUAUUGAAAGCUAUGUUUAUAUCAAGUUAGAAAUCCCUUCUGGAAUAACAGACUGCCAAGGUAAAAUCUGAGUUUGUCUAAUGAAGAAUCGGAGCAGAGACCUGAAGCUUAACCUCCUACAUUGGAGGCAAGUGCUCUAACUGCUGAGUCAAUGUCAUUGUGGGGUCUGGUGUUUACAAUCUCUCUGGAGUUGUUCCAUUUUGUAUAGCUACAAUGGCAUGGUAAUAAGAGGUAGGAUGGAUUGUGAAAAUGAAACUAAAUCAAUUGGAAGAGAGAUUAAGUGACAUCAUAUAAAAUUACUUUGUUUUGGAUGUCAUCAGAGUAAGAUUCCAGGACGUUUAUAACGAGUACAAUAAGGAUUAAUUCAGCAAUUUCUGUUCUGUACCAUGACCUUCCAAAGUUCUACUCACCCUAUCAUCCAAGUGAAAGAAUUUAUUUUGGCAGGUGAAUAAAAUAUUGUUAUUGUCAUUAUCAUAGUAAGGAUGAGCAAGCUAGUUUUACAUCUAGGGUGGUAAAUUUUCCUGGCAGCUUUGUAAGGUUAUCCUGCAUUUUGGAAUAUGUUUCCUUGGCCAGAUUUUGAUUAAACUGUUUCUAAGUGCAUAAAAAAUCACCCCAGCAAAUGGGGAAAAAUACAGAUUCUAAUUUAAAUCAAAUCAUCACAAGAUCUGAUAAUUAAAUGAACAUAUCAUGGGUGGAUUAGCUUUAGCUGUAAUGUUAGCAUUUAGAUGUAUCAUUUAUAAGCACAAUCAUCAGAAAUUUAUUCACUUCAAAGGAGUUAAUAUAACCUACUGAGCUCCAUUCACUAUAGUUUAUUUAUAUUGCUUUCUGGAGUUGAAGGGCACUUUUCAUCUUCUCCUUAUUUGUGGUUUAAAUUAAAAGGUCAGACAGUCCAAGUUCAAAAAAAUCUGUAGUCCUGGCUGCUGCAGUCUAUUGGUCAUCCUACUCUGAACUUGUAUUUUGGAAUGA
Molecule: long non-coding RNA, 1576 nt
Organism: Mauremys reevesii (Reeves's turtle)
Lineage: Eukaryota; Metazoa; Chordata; Testudines; Geoemydidae
Exons: 4
Source: RefSeq, a predicted model, not a curated record